CUGACAGCCAUGCCGCGUGCAGGACGACUGCCCUAUGGGUUGUAAACUGCUUUUGUUAGGGAAUAAACCCCACUACGUGUAGUGGGCUGAAUGUACCUAAAGAAUAAGGAUCGGCUAACUCCGUGCCAGCAGCCGCGGUAAUACGGAGGAUCCGAGCGUUAUCCGGAUUUAUUGGGUUUAAAGGGUGCGUAGGCGGCACUUUAAGUCAGGGGUGAAAGACGGCAGCUCAACUGUCGCAGUGCCCUUGAUACUGAAGUGCUUGAAUGCGGUUGAAGACGGCGGAAUGAGACAAGUAGCGGUGAAAUGCAUAGAUAUGUCUCAGAACACCGAUUGCGAAGGCAGCUGUCUAAGCCGUUAUUGACGCUGAUGCACGAAAGCGUGGGGAUCGAACAGGAUUAGAUACCCUGGUAGUCCACGCCCUAAACGAUGAUGACUCGAUGUUUGCGAUAUACCGUAAGCGUCCAAGCGAAAGCGUUAAGUCAUCCACCUGGGGAGUACGCCCGCAAGGGUGAAACUCAAAGGAAUUGACGGGGGCCCGCACAAGCGGAGGAGCAUGUGGUUUAAUUCGAUGAUACGCGAGGAACCUUACCCGGGCUUGAAAGUUACUGAAGGAUGCAGAGACGCAUCCGUCCCUCGGGACAGGAAACUAGGUGCUGCAUGGCUGUCGUCAGCUCGUGCCGUGAGGUGUUGGGUUAAGUCCCGCAACGAGCGCAACCCCUAUGUUUAGUUGCCAGCACGUCAAGGUGGGGACUCUAAACAGACUGCCUGCGCAAGCAGAGAGGAAGGCGGGGACGACGUCAAGUCAUCAUGGCCCUUACGUCCGGGGCUACACACGUGCUACAAUGGAUGGUACAGCGGGCAGCUACACAGCAAUGUGAUGCCAAUCUCGAAAAGCCAUUCACAGUUCGGAUCGGGGUCUGCAACUCGACCCCGUGAAGUUGGAUUCGCUAGUAAUCGCGUAUCAGCAAUGACGCGGUGAAUACGUUCCCGGGCCUUGUACACACCGCCCGUCAAGCCAUGAAAGCUGGGGGUACCUAAAGCAUGU
RNAcentral lists this ribosomal RNA (1045 nucleotides) under Sphingobacterium sp. Its description in RNAcentral is "bacterial SSU rRNA". It matches the Rfam family "Bacterial small subunit ribosomal RNA", at positions 383 to 1431 of the family's 1533-position model. The record is from RNAcentral. Lineage: Bacteria; Pseudomonadati; Bacteroidota; Sphingobacteriia; Sphingobacteriales; Sphingobacteriaceae.